Molecule: microRNA precursor, 84 nt
Filed under: Bombyx mori (domestic silkworm)
Lineage: Eukaryota; Metazoa; Arthropoda; Insecta; Lepidoptera; Bombycidae
Description: mir-2807 microRNA precursor family
Rfam family: mir-2807 microRNA precursor family
Source: Rfam by way of RNAcentral
UUAAGUCAAAUUUAUAUGGAGUUGGAACGUUUGCCUAUGUCUGCCGCUAAGGGCACUGAUCCAUCUGCAUACAAAUUUCAGGUA